AGAUCAUUCCAAAGAGGGCUCGUGGGGCUGUGAAACCAUGAGCUCUUAACACUAUGACGAAAGACUAAAGUUCUCUAUAGGAUGCCAUAGCACUCAAGGGUGCUGUUUUCGUAAGGAGAUAUAAGA
Molecule: small nucleolar RNA, 126 nt
Organism: Cebus imitator (Panamanian white-faced capuchin)
Lineage: Eukaryota; Metazoa; Chordata; Mammalia; Primates; Cebidae
Source: Ensembl